Solea senegalensis (Senegalese sole) is the source of this 135-nucleotide long non-coding RNA. RefSeq lists it as uncharacterized. Lineage: Eukaryota; Metazoa; Chordata; Actinopteri; Pleuronectiformes; Soleidae. The record is from RefSeq and is a predicted model, not a curated record. The transcript has 3 exons.
ACAGUCUUAGGUUCGUAUAGAGUGCCUCUGGUGAGUUAUUUUGCCACAUGUUCAUGCCUGAGUGAUCGGCAAAGAUUUCCGUCUUUCUUUAGGACGAUUCCAAGUGAUGCUUUUCAGGUGAAUGCUAUGAUUCAG